Molecule: long non-coding RNA, 3996 nt
Filed under: Malus domestica (apple)
Lineage: Eukaryota; Viridiplantae; Streptophyta; Magnoliopsida; Rosales; Rosaceae
Description: long non-coding RNA (MDOM_LNC000702)
Source: RNAcentral
AUGUAUUACAAGUUGAACAAAGCUAAGGUCAAUAUCAAACUACACAUGAAAUAACAAAUAGGCCUCUAAUAACAAAGAAAUUUGUCACUUGAAAGACUUCACUUUUCCUUACACACCUCCAAACGAAGUCCUUUGAGAGUGAAAUACUGCUCCUAAUGCUUGAACCACACUAAUUGCUAUCUCUAUCUGCAUAGACAUAAGCACAUGGAGCAAAAGAAAAUCUAUUGUACUGCUACAUGUAGAAAUACACAUUUAAUCUCAAGUAAGAAAAGUGAUACUGAAAGAAAACCUAACCAUUGUCAUACAAAACUAAAUCCCAAAAACACUAAGGUAAGACUCACUGUUUUUAUGAGUCUCUAACAUUUCACACAUGAAGAAUUGAUGCGGCAAGUAGAAGAUUGGAUAUUUGAUCAGUGGAUAUGGUUAUCAAUUAUGAUAUCCCCAAAAACUCUAAGGUAAGACUCAUUGUUUUUUAACCUAGUGGCUUGCUGUUAUCAAUUUACAUCAAAGUUAGCCAUUUAUCUAGUUUUUUGGUCUUAAUAUAUUACAAAUUCAACAUCAACAGAAGCAACAACAAAUUUCAAUUUUUUUUCAUUUCUUUUUGUUCCAUUUUCUUCAAUCCAAUAAAAUUUCAUGGGAACUAAAACAAAAGGAGAGAAAGAGAGAGUUCCCAACCCGUCUCAACUUCGUCUUUGGAAACUAGGCCCUGGGAACAGAUAGAGUGCCUAACCAAGAUACUCUAGCUAGUCAAAGGAGAUGAAUUCGGUUGGUAAGUUAAGAGCUAGUAAAAACAAAAUGUUAACUUAUAAAUUGAUAAAGACUUUAAUACUAAUAAAAUUUAAGUUUAAACUUUUCCACUCAUUACCGUUGCAUUUGCAACCUCUUCGUUUAAAAAUUCACCAAAGACUUCUACCGCUCGAAAUAGUAUCCACCUCACAAAAAACAAUUUUUGAUAAUUUGAUUCUCUACUCUACAGAAAUUAUUCUACCACCACCAGCUUAAUUAAAAUUAUGUUUUAGAGAAAAAAGAGUUAGAAAAACUAAGAAAAUGCGAAUAAAAUUCCAUGAAAACAAUAAUUCGAGGUCGAAGCGCUUGAGAUACGAUCAUGCAAUUAAGCCAAAAACAGUUUCAACCAACAAAAAUCAUGCAAAACAGAAUCAAACCCGACAACAAAAUCCAAAAUUCGAUCUCUGACAGAUAAAUGUGAUAAAUGUUUUCCGCGACUCUCUCUUACUCCUCUUCCUUCACAACCCAAUUCCAAUUCCCCUUCCUUGCCAUGAAGAAAAAAUUGCACAAAAUUGCAAAAAGAAUUGUAGAAAAAUUGCAGAGAUAAAGAAAAAAUUGCUGAGAUGAAGGAAGAAGAUAAAGUGUGAGAGGAAGAGGUAGAGGUUCUUGGAUUUGAAAUCCUAAGGUGUGAGAUAGGAUUCUAUUUGGUCUUGGUUAUAUAUACUUCUUGGCUUUUGGUAUUUUGGUAUUUUAACGAGGCUUUUGGUAUUUUGUUGUUUGGCCAUUCUGUUAAUUAUUAAUUUGAGAUUCAUGUAUCUUAGGUUGUGAUUUAAUGUUUUGUAGUAAUUUUGAUGCAUCGUAAGUUGUGUUUUAAAUUAAGUGGUCAGGUGAAACAAUUGUCAUUUAAUAUGCUUUGGUGGCUCUGGGAGUUGUAUUUGCAAUGAUGAAGAUGUUUUGGCAAACUAGUAUAUUAGGGAGGGAGUUUGAUAUGUUAAAGGAGACAAUUUGGAAUUAUAAUUUUAUGGUAAUGAAGAAUUGAGCAUUGCUCUUCUAUCAUUUUUAUGUCAAGCCUCGUGUGUUUUUUUUUUUUGACAUAUCUCCUCUAUCUCUUUGUCGUUCUGCAUUACAGAUCCCACAAAAUCCACAACUUAAUGAAAUCCUGGGAAAUCUUUAAUUUUUCAAUACACCUAGAUUUGAAUGGACUUUAAAAAUGACUAUUAAAAUCUUGAUUGACUACACCCAGAUUUGCAUGGAUUCUAAAAAUCCUUUAAAAUCCUUUAAAAUCCUUUGGUUGACUACACUAAGGGGGGUGUAUUCAAUUGAGAUUUUGAGGGAUUUUAAUUCUUUUAAUGAAUCUAGGAGUAGCCAAUCAAGAAUUUAAGUGAUUCUCUGAAAUUCAAUGUGUAUUCAAUCAGGAUUUUAAGAUAGUUUAUGAAAAUCCUUAGAAAUCCGGGUGUAUUCAAUUAGGAUUUUAAAGAAGUUUAUCACAUUACAGGUGUAUUCAAUUAGAAUUUGAUUUUAAAGAAUUUGAGAAAGUUGAGGAAUUAGAGGGAAUUGGAGAGAUUUCGUAGUGUAUUUUGAGCAUCCACAAAUCUCAUCUCUCCCCAAGAGAUUUCGAGGGAAUUGAAUCAAAAUUUUACAUGGAAUCUCUACAAAUCAAUUAAACUCCAUAUAAAUCCAUGGAUUUAUAAAUCGAUUAAAAUCUCUCAAAUUCUCAAUUGAAUACACCCUCCUAAGAUUUGAAAGUCUUUUAAAAUCCUUCCAAAUCCGAGUUUGAUUACAUCCCCCUAAAAGAAUCCUCCAUAUGUAAUAAUAAAUCAAGUUAAAAAAUCUCCAAUCACAGAAUAAUAAAGCCAGGCACAACUACAUAUAGAUUUAGAAAAAUCAAACUCAAAUUUACCCAAAUUGGAGGUUGCGGAGUGCGAAUGUGCAGGUGGAGGGGCUACUAGAGGAAAGUACCUGUAAAUUCAAAACCAAAUUUAUAUAUAAAUAAAAUAAAAAAUUUGAAAAAAGAAAAAACUUCAACCUUAAAACAUUGGGAGAAAAACGGCGGUCUCGUGUGUCUGGGAAAGGAAGAUUUAGGUGUCGAUUUGAGUUUUGGUGGAUUGGAUCUCCUGGGUUCUUGAAUUUUCGGUGGUGGACAACAAGUGACAUGGAGAUGAGGCCAUGGACUACGACAAACUGAUGGAGAGAGGGGUUUGUUGUUUGGGUAAAUAAAUCUGGGUAUGACAUGCAUGCCAGAGAGGAGAUGGCCUUCCUGUUGGGUCACGGUGGUGUGAAAGAAACGAGCAAUCUGAAAGGUAGAGAGAAAGAAAGGGGAAGUGAAGUGGAAUGGUCUAGAAUUUCACUUGUUUGAUAUUUCAUUAUGGCACUAUAAUUUCCCGCUGUGCAUUUUUUGUUAGGUGUGGAGUAGGAAAGUUUGGGUGGGAAGCUAGAAAUAUUAAUUAAGGCGUAUUAUUUGUGCCAUAAAAGGUAGGGAUCUAAAUAUAUAGAAAAUUCACUUUACGACAUAAUGUGAUGUCUUAAAGGAGUAGGAAAGUGCGUCGUGUAAAUUGUCAAAUACGACACACAACGCUUACGCCGUAAAUAUUUUUAUUUAACGACUUGCAUAAAAGUGAUGUUGUGAAUGCUAGAUUAUGUGCAAGUAUUAAGACAUGAAAUUUACGAAUGUCGUGAAUAAUAUCAUUUAAGGCAUGCUAGUAUUGUACGCCGUAUAUUUCAAGUCGUAAAAGACCCAAACUGUUGUAGUGUUGGUAUGCAAGUUUUUGAGAGACAAUAAUUGAUAAGUUCAGUAGUCAUAUUGGUUUGAUCAUGUCCUGUAUUUAAUUCUUGUUCUUUGUAGUGAUGUUUUACUUUUUAACCAAAAAAUUUGAAUAAUAUUUUUGGAAGUUUGAAAUUGAAGGUUAAUGAUAUUGUUGUACUAAUUAAAGCUUACAUUGCCUUUUCAAAAAAUUAAAUAAAAAAGGAAAUUUAGGCGCCUAUCUCUAGUGAUGAUAUGACUUCGAUUGAAACUUGUAUAUUGCCAACUUUUGAUUCAAGUCCUUUGACUUCUUUUCACAUCAAUAUUUUAGUUGCCAACUUAACAUCUUAUAUUAUUUUGUUAUAACUAGAUGAAUCCCACCCACUGUGUUCGUAAAUAUAAAAAUUUAAAAAGAAAACUAUAAUAUGGACAAAGAGAGAAGUUAGGGGGAAAUGAGAGAGAGAGAGAGAGAGAGAGAGAGAGAGAGAGAAUGUGGUUUAAAAAAAAUUAAAGAUGCUAUAAUGACAUAU